This 305-nucleotide ribosomal RNA is filed under the name uncultured bacterium. RNAcentral describes it as "bacterial SSU rRNA". It matches the Rfam family "Bacterial small subunit ribosomal RNA", at positions 335 to 656 of the family's 1533-position model. The record is from RNAcentral.
GCACCUACGGGAGGCAGCAGUCGGGAAUAUUGCACAAUGGAGGAAACUCUGAUGCAGUGACACCGCGUAUAGGAAGAAGGUUUUCGGAUUGUAAACUAUUUUAGACAGGGAAGAAAAAAGACAGUACCUGUAGAAUAAGCUCCGGCUAACUACGUGCCAGCAGCCGCGGUAAUACGGAGGGUGCGAGCGUUAAUCGGAAUUACUGGGCGUAAAGCGCUCGUAGGCGGUAUGUCAAGUCAAGGGUGAAAUCCCCGCGCUCAACGUGGGAACUGCCUUUGAAACUGGCAAACUGGAGUGUGUGAGAG